Molecule: long non-coding RNA, 2700 nt
Organism: Panicum virgatum (switchgrass)
Lineage: Eukaryota; Viridiplantae; Streptophyta; Magnoliopsida; Poales; Poaceae
Exons: 8
Source: RefSeq, a predicted model, not a curated record
CAUACGAGGGGCACUCUUCACAGGCCUUUGCGAUCCGCUCGACCUCCCAUCACCUCCCUCGACCCGCCAUUCGCGUGGAUCGACCAACCCUCCGUAGCACGAUCCUGGCGGCGGUGCGGUGCAGCUCAAGCGGUGGUUCCCUGCGAGCUUCGAUCAGUUGAUCUCGGCCCGAGGAUUUGAUGUUGGAGUUCUAUCCACCAUGCAGUCGUCCGCGGCCAUGCGCCUGUACAAACGUCGGCAUCCUCACCGUGGCCGCAGGUCGUCCAUAUACGAUUAACGGAGGGGGUGACGUGGGUGCACUCUCUGUGUUUGGGUAAAUGCCCCAGUGAAGUUGAUGUCCCGUGCAGGUCGAGCAUCGCCGUUUGUUUCUCUAUAGUCUGUGCUGGUCAGCUGACAGCAAGAAAAGGGUUCAAUUGGAACUAGAGAUGUUGCAUUAUGCAUGUCUGAGCUUCUCUAUUCAUCCUGCCGGUCUUUUCUCAUACGCUCAUGAAUACAAUUCUGACAUUGUCUUGGACGAAAAUCUCCUGAAGCUAUUUUCUGUUUCAAAUAUCUUAUUAGCGACACGUGCUUAUUGGAUUUCACAGUGGAGAAAUAACAUUUGUUUGCAGGUUCUUGAUCCUGCACUGCCUCUACGAUUUAUGAUCUAAGAGCACUAUGUGACAGAGCCUCGAUUUGACGUAGGUAGGAGAGCAGCCAACAACCAGAGGCGUCCAAUGGAGACUAAGCUCUUGAUAGAAUUGGGAGGUUUGAGAUGUAUGCUUGGAGAAGAGGAGAAAAGAGGAUGCUUGAAUCUGGAGAUGGUAAGAGUAUUCUGUUAGCUUCUGCCCUUCUCAGGUUGUAAUGGUGGGUGGUGGGUGGGCGAUACUUGCAUCUCGGCGGCGGCGCGGCACGAACGCUGUCCUGGCGGCCGGCGAUCGUGAGGGCGAGCGAACUAGCGAGCGAGCGAGGGAGAAUACUGAGUUAGGACGCCCCAAGAUCAAAACUGAUCUCCAAGCAUAACUUACAUUAACAUGGAGUAUGUAGUCAUAUAGACUAGGUACAUAACGCAUAGACUGAAUUACAAAUUUGAAAACGCUGGGAACUGCUUCCAGACGUGGGCGUGUGUGCGUUUUUGCCGUUCAACCGUGCUGCCUCCUCUUGUACACAUUCCCAGUCAUAAUAUAUUGAAUACAUGGUGCAAGUAAGGGUCCAGUUUCAUAUUUAUGAGGGUAUUGUUAAGCUAAUACACCCUAUGAGCGGACAAAGAGGCACCAUGGACUAAGAACCAUUCUGAGGUAUAUUCUACUCUAUUUAAUUUUUUAUUUCCAAAAAAAUAAGUGAUUUAUACCUGAUGAUUGUAGCUUAACAUUUAUAUCCUUGAACUCUGAGUAAAAAUUGGUAUCCAUUUGGUGUUAACUAACACGUGAUAUAUAUUAUUGAUUUGUCCAGUUAGCUGUAUUCUCGAUGAAACUCUCUGCCUCCCUGCAAUCCUUCUAAUUCCCGAUGGUUACACAGCAAAACAAAGUAGAUAGUAAAUUCGGCUCCAUCUAUAGGCAUUUUACAUAGUAAGAAAAAAAAAAUCUUUCGGCAGGCGCAUUAGGAUCUAUGCCGUCGACAACAGCGGCUCCUUUGGCUCCUUUUUGAUACAAAACUAAUUCUUCACAUAGGUGCAUCUUAAUUUCAGUAGCAUUUGUGGCUGGUGACUGAGCUUAUUUUCUGAUAGGAUAUCACAUUAUCUGUCCUUUCUCUACAAUUAAUCUUGGUCAUGAAUGCAGGAAAUGAUUAUGCUCUUUGUUGGAUUCGAAACUGAGUGCAGAUGAGUGAUAAUAAUCUUUGCCUCAUGAGACUCAUGGUUUUGGUUCAGAAUUAACAAGCAUGGAGCAUGGCAGAUACACAUUCCACAACCAAACAGCUGAGUAUGCCUCUUCAAUUAAUCUGCAGGUCCCUCAGGUCGCAUAAUGACCUGUAAAUUUAGAGGAGAAUUUGCUUCCCUUUCAUUUUUCCGAUCACCUUCGCAGCCUCUUCCUGCUUGGAGCUCAUUUCCCUGUUAAGUUUCCAAAUGUGCCGAGGUUCAAACUAAUGUUGAUGACCUCAUGGAAGACACCAGGAAAUGAUAUUUACUAUGAUAUCAAUAUUAAUAACCAGGUGCUUAAAUACAUCUGAAAUUGUCUUGUUUAAGUUGUUUGUAGUUGGGUACAUAUCGUUUGCUAUUCCUGAAAAUGAUUCUUAUGUUGCCAAAGUGGGAAACAUUUGUAUGUAAUCCUCUCCUUUUUUUGGCCAAGUGUAUGCAAUCUAAUUAGUGACAACCAUGUCUGUAAGGGUCCAAUCAGCAUGACCAGACCAUGCAGCAUCUCCUAGAAAUUAGUUUCUGUUUUUAACCUUUGUAAAACUUGAAUGCAGGAGUUGUUUACUGGCAACCUCCUGAGUCAGUACGAAUAAGAUUGAAAGAAUCAUCAGGGAACCAGCAGUCAGUAGAUAUGGUUCUGAUGAUGGACUUCUAGAACAUUGUGAAGCACUUCUCGAAAAGGUUCACCAAGGCUAUCGAGGAGGCGGAGAGCAGAGGGAUUGCAGCUGUCCGUGUUCUUGUGACAGACCGACCUACUGAGAUGGUUCUUUGGUAGGUUCUAAAUGUGUAAUAGACACCGGCUGACUGGACGUGAUAGCACAAAUGAAAAAAAAUAUAUAACAGAUGCAUUAUAAUAUUUUCUUGUUCCUACUUAA